UUCAUUACUGACGUGGCUUUCCUGCAAAACAUAGGCUCGAUUAUUAAGUCGGUUUUGUUAUUUGAUAAUAUACAUAGUACUGGAUGAUCGUUACGACCAAAACAAUAGUCAUUCGUCGUCCUCAAUUCUUCACCAUUUUCUUGUGUGAUUAGAUCCUGUCUGAACAAACGGAUUUGUGUGCAUUAUAAUUCUUGGUGCUAAAACAACCCCCACAAAAAAACCCAUCAAAAAUCAAAGAAACAUCAGUUUAAGAAUCCAUUGCUUUUUUAAAAAAAAAACCCCAAGAUGUCUGAUUUUGAUCCUUGUG
Long non-coding RNA from Patella vulgata (common limpet), 307 nucleotides. RefSeq lists it as uncharacterized. NCBI's taxonomy places the organism in Eukaryota, Metazoa, Mollusca, Gastropoda, Patellidae. The transcript is spliced from 2 exons. The record is from RefSeq and is a predicted model, not a curated record.